Molecule: ribosomal RNA, 406 nt
Filed under: uncultured bacterium
Lineage: Bacteria
Description: partial 16S ribosomal RNA
Rfam family: Bacterial small subunit ribosomal RNA
Source: RNAcentral
AUUGAACGCUGGCGGCAGGCUUAACACAUGCAAGUCGAGCGAGCGGCGGACGGGUGAGUAAUGUAUGGGGAUCUGCCUGAUAGAGGGGGAUAACUACUGGAAACGGUGGCUAAUACCGCAUACCAUCGGAUGAACCCAUAUGGGAUUAGCUAGUAGGUGGGGUAAUGGCUCACCUAGGCGACGAUCCCUAGCUGGUCUGAGAGGAUGAUCAGCCACACUGGAACUGAGACACGGCCCAGACUCCUACGGUAGGCAGCAGUGGGGAAUAUUGCACAAUGGGCGCAAGCCUGAUGCAGCCAUGCCGCGUGUGUGAAGAAGGCCUUAGGGUUGUAAAGUACUUUCAGCGGGGAGGCGUUACUCGCAGAAGAAGCACCGGCUAACUCCGUGCCAGCAGCCGCGGUAAUAC